RNAcentral lists this ribosomal RNA (513 nucleotides) under Acinetobacter baumannii. Its description in RNAcentral is "bacterial LSU rRNA". It matches the Rfam family "Bacterial large subunit ribosomal RNA", at positions 1388 to 1886 of the family's 2925-position model. Lineage: Bacteria; Pseudomonadati; Pseudomonadota; Gammaproteobacteria; Moraxellales; Moraxellaceae. The record is from RNAcentral.
CCCCUAAGGCGAGGCCGAAAGGCGUAGUCGAUGGGAAACAGGUUAAUAUUCCUGUACUUGGUGUUACUGCGAAGGGGGGACGGAGAAGGCUAUGUCAGCCGGGCGACGGUUGUCCCGGUUUAAGCAUGUAGGCGGAGGUUCCAGGUAAAUCCGGUACCUUUUUAACGCUGAGGUGUGAUGACGAGGCACUACGGUGCUGAAGUAAUAAAUGCCCUGCUUCCAGGAAAAGCCUCUAAGCAUCAGGUAACAUGAAAUCGUACCCCAAACCGACACAGGUGGUUAGGUAGAGAAUACCAAGGCGCUUGAGAGAACUCGGGUGAAGGAACUAGGCAAAAUGGCACCGUAACUUCGGGAGAAGGUGCGCCGGCGAAGGUGAAGGGCUUGCCCCGUAAGCUUUUGCUGGUCGAAGAUACCAGGCCGCUGCGACUGUUUAUUAAAAACACAGCACUCUGCAAACACGAAAGUGGACGUAUAGGGUGUGACGCCUGCCCGGUGCCGGAAGGUUAAUUGAUG